RNAcentral lists this ribosomal RNA (425 nucleotides) under uncultured bacterium. RNAcentral describes it as "partial 16S ribosomal RNA". It matches the Rfam family "Bacterial small subunit ribosomal RNA", at positions 354 to 796 of the family's 1533-position model. The record is from RNAcentral.
GUGGGGAAUAUUGGACAAUGGGCGAAAGCCUGAUCCAGCCAUGCCGCGUGAGUGAUGAAGGCCUUAGGGUUGUAAAGCUCUUUCAGUAGGGAAGAUAAUGACGGUACCUACAGAAGAAGCCCCGGCUAACUUCGUGCCAGCAGCCGCGGUAAUACGAAGGGGGCUAGCGUUGUUCGGAUUUACUGGGCGUAAAGCGCACGUAGGCGGAUUGAUCAGUUAGAGGUGAAAUCCUGGAGCUCAACUCCAGAACUGCCUUUAAUACUGCCAGUCUAGAGUCCAGAAGAGGUGAGUGGAACUCCUAGUGUAGAGGUGGAAUUCGUAGAUAUUAGGAAGAACACCAGUGGCGAAGGCGGCUCACUGGUCUGGUACUGACGCUGAGGUGCGAAAGCGUGGGGAGCAAACAGGAUUAGAAACCCGGGUAGUCC